AUGUCGGGAGGGGGGAAGGGAGGAAGGGUAGGGUGAUAGGGACAAAAAUAGAGUGUGUGUAGGAAGGACUUCAACACCGUUUGGAAAAGAAGCAGAAGGGAAAGGAAGAGAAGAUGGAGAGAAAGGAGAAGAGGAGGUGGGGUAGGGAAGCAACGGAUGGCAAGCUGGGAGAGUAAAAAGGGAUGCCUUACUUAUAGCUAGAAAUGAUGUAUGUCCUCACCUGGUGGAGGGCCAGAUCAUCCCAGAAUUCUCAGCAUCCUGCCUGCCAGUGUUUUAACUUCACUGCACAAAGGACCUGUGUUUGAAUCCUGACUGUUAUUUACUUCCUGUGUGGCUUUGAACACAUUGGUACCUGCCUCAAGGGCCACAGAUUUCUCACAGGUA
This 384-nucleotide long non-coding RNA is filed under the name Sarcophilus harrisii (Tasmanian devil). Its description in RNAcentral is "lncRNA (ENSSHAG00000026054.1)". The record is from RNAcentral. Lineage: Eukaryota; Metazoa; Chordata; Mammalia; Dasyuromorphia; Dasyuridae.